Long non-coding RNA from Solanum pennellii, 368 nucleotides. RefSeq lists it as uncharacterized. The transcript is spliced from 3 exons. The record is from RefSeq and is a predicted model, not a curated record. NCBI's taxonomy places the organism in Eukaryota, Viridiplantae, Streptophyta, Magnoliopsida, Solanales, Solanaceae.
UAUUUUUCUGGGUCAUAACUCAGGAACCGAAAGAAAAAAAAUAAAACUAAAAAUUAGGGCACUGCGCACGAACUGCUGCGGGAUUUCAUGGUUUCCAGAUUGGGAACGUUUCGAAACCUUGCAUAAAGGAAAUGAAAAAUCUUGAAGAUUCGUGGCACGGGUUCAGCAUUCAAGGUGCAGCUAAAGCUGUAUGCUAGAACUAACGAAUCGACGCUGAACUUAUCCAGACGUGGAGCUUUCAUCCGAAUUUGGUAGGACCUCAUGCUUUCAAGGAUGCUUACUAUUUUAUUCUAGCAUUAGAUGUAGGCAUUAGCUAGUGGCGUAUGUUCCACUAGUAUUUCUUUCCUAGUUAUUUCAGAUAUUGUAUU